RNAcentral lists this ribosomal RNA (468 nucleotides) under uncultured bacterium. RNAcentral describes it as "partial 16S ribosomal RNA". It matches the Rfam family "Bacterial small subunit ribosomal RNA", at positions 28 to 507 of the family's 1533-position model. The record is from RNAcentral.
GACGAACGCUGGCGGCGUGCUUAACACAUGCAAGUCGAACGGAAAGGCCCUGCUUUUGUGGGGUUCUCGAGUGGCGAACGGGUGAGUAACACGUGAGUAACCUGCCCCUGACGUUGGGAUAACUUCAGGAAACUGGGGCUAAUACCGGAGAGGAGCUCCUGCUGCAUGGUGGGGGUUGGAAAGUUUCGGCGGUUGUGGAUGGACUCGCGGCUUAUCAGCUUGUUGGUGGGGUAGUGGCUUACCAAGGCUUUGACGGGUAGCCGGCCUGAGAGGGUGACCGGCCACAUUGGGACUGAGAUACGGACCAGACUCGUACGGGAGGCAGCAGUGGGGAAUAUUGCACAAUGGGCGGAAGCCUGAUGCAGCAACGCCGCAUGCGGGAUGACGGCCUUCGGGUUGUAAACCGCUUUCGCCUGUGACGAAGCGUGAGUGACGGUAAUGGGUAAAGAAGCACCGGCUAACUACGUG